UUGACCUCAAAUCAGGUAGGACUACCCGCUGAACUUAAGCAUAUCAAUAAGCGGAGGAAAAGAAACUAACAAGGAUUCCCCUAGUAACUGCGAGUGAAGCGGGAAAAGCUCAAAUUUAAAAUCUGGUGGUCUUUGAUCAUCCGAGUUGUAAUCUAGAGAAGUGUUAUCCGCGCUGGACCGUGUACAAGUCUCCUGGAAUGGAGCGUCAUAGAGGGUGAGAAUCCCGUCUUUGACACGGACUGCCAGGGCUUUGUGAUGCGCUCUCAAAGAGUCGAGUUGUUUGGGAAUGCAGCUCAAAAUGGGUGGUAAAUUCCAUCUAAAGCUAAAUAUUGGCGAGAGACCGAUAGCGAACAAGUACCGUGAGGGAAAGAUGAAAAGAACUUUGGAAAGAGAGUUAAACAGUACGUGAAAUUGCUGAAAGGGAAACGCUUGAAGUCAGUCGCGUUGGCCGGGGAUCAACCUUGCUUUUGCUGGGCGUACUUUCCGGUUGACGGGUCAGCAUCAAUUUUGACCGUUGGAUAAAGUUCAGGGGAAUGUGGCAUCUUCGGAUGUGUUAUAGCCUUUGUUCGCAUACAACGGUUGGGAUUGAGGAACUCAGCACG
Molecule: ribosomal RNA, 602 nt
Filed under: Galerina unicolor
Lineage: Eukaryota; Fungi; Basidiomycota; Agaricomycetes; Agaricales; Galerinaceae
Description: eukaryotic LSU rRNA
Rfam family: Eukaryotic large subunit ribosomal RNA
Source: RNAcentral